GAUGAACGCUGGCGGCGUGCCUAAUACAUGCAAGUCGAGCGAACAGACGAGGAGCUUGCUCCUCUGACGUUAGCGGCGGACGGGUGAGUAGCACGUGGAUAACCUACCUAUAAGACUGGGAUAACUUCGGGAAACCGGAGCUAAUACCGGAUAAUAUAUUGAACCGCAUGGUUCAAUAGUGAAAGACGGUUUUGCUGUCACUUAUAGAUGGAUCCGCGCCGCAUUAGCUAGUUGGUAAGGUAACGGCUUACCAAGGCAACGAUGCGUAGCCGACCUGAGAGGGUGAUCGGCCACACUGGAACUGAGAAACGGUCCAGACGCCUACGGGAGGCAGCAGUAGGGAAUCUUCCGCAAUGGGCGGAAGCUUGACGGAGCAACGCCGCGUGAGUGAUGAAGGUCUUCGGAUCGUAAAACUCUGUUAUUAGGGAAGAACAAAUGUGUAAGUAACUAUGCACGUCUUGACGGUACCUAAUCAGAAAGCCACGGCUAACUACGUG
RNAcentral lists this ribosomal RNA (497 nucleotides) under uncultured bacterium. RNAcentral describes it as "partial 16S ribosomal RNA". It matches the Rfam family "Bacterial small subunit ribosomal RNA", at positions 28 to 507 of the family's 1533-position model. The record is from RNAcentral.